Mesoplodon densirostris (Blainville's beaked whale) is the source of this 2150-nucleotide long non-coding RNA. RefSeq lists it as uncharacterized. The transcript has 4 exons. The record is from RefSeq and is a predicted model, not a curated record. NCBI's taxonomy places the organism in Eukaryota, Metazoa, Chordata, Mammalia, Artiodactyla, Ziphiidae.
GCGGCCGCGGCGUCGUGUGCGGAUGGCGGAGGGCGCGUCUGCCAGGAGCCACCACCAGAUGAGGCGGGCGGGUUACAAAACUUCACAGGGGUUCCUGGGGACAGGUAGGACGUAUUGGUCCCGCUGAUUCAUUGUUCGCCUUCCUAGAAAUCUGACCUCGGGCCACAAUUGUAUAGAAGAAAAAGCAAUGCGUUCAGGAACUUUACUUCCCAAAGAUUGGAAAUAACCCAAGUGUUCAACAGGAGGAGAGGCGAGAGUAUGUGAAUUACAACUAUCUCUGUUUACCAGACACUGGGAAUGCACUUUUCAUUCAGUAUCUCAUUUUGUCCUCGAAACAGACCUAGCAGUUCUGGAGGUCAGAAGUCUGAAAUGAGUCUACUAGGUGAAGAUCAAGGUGUUGGCAUGGCUGCAUUUCUUCGGGAGGCUCUGUGGAAGAAUCUGUUUACUUGCCUUUUCCAGCUUCUCAAAGUCAUUAAUGAAUGAGAUCCUUGGAUCUGCAUUUACUGCUCCAUCUGAUCCCAUGACUGCAUCUGAAUGGCGUAUGUGUCUCUGGACCGUCAAGCACAUACCAGAUCAGUGGUUCUCUGUGCAGAAUCGGCUAGAGGGCUUGUGAAGACAGAUGCCUGGGACCCACCUCCAGAGACUGCAAUCCAGUAGGACUAGAAUGGGGCCAGGAACCUGCAUUUCUUACCCAUAUUCCCAGCUAAGGCUGAUUCUGCUGGUCUGGGGACCACACUUUGAGAAUGACUGUCUUAAGAGUGUGAGCUGUUUAAAAGAAAUGGGUUGAAACCUGCCAUUCAGGGAGUAUAACUUGAAAGGUGUCAGUCAACUUUUCCCACUAAAAACAAAUCAAACCAAAAAGGCACUGGGCCUGAGUGAGCAGAUCAAUGGUAGACUUAAAGUGUGGUCCAUAGGUGCAGAAGGUUCCUUCUAAGCAGAAUUUUAUUGGAAGGUUUGAGGGGAGGAGGGUGUUACGAGUGUGAGCAUGAGUAUUAGGUUAGGGUGAUCGUGAUAUAAGCCUUGAAUUCUUCUAAUGGUGGCCAUGGGCUUGCCCCCCACCUGGCUUUCCUGGUGGGCAAGCUUCUGGAAUGAGCCAGGUUUGCAGGCUGCUGGGUUUUCUCCAUGUGAUGCCAACUGGGCUUUGUAAUGACUUAUUUAUUCACUCUUUUAUUUAAUAAGUAUUUAUGAGCACUGACCAUGUGCAAGCAUUGUUCUAGGUGUGGAUGGGCUAGAAAGGUGUAACCUACCAUUGUUUUUUCUCAAAAAUACAGAUCACAGCUGUUUAUACAUAACUGAAUUAAUAUGAAAGGUGAAAUGAAAAGGCAAAUUCAAAAUUUCCAAAGGUCUCCUUUGCAACAGAAGAACUUACUAAAUAUGAUAAAGAAGUCUAUUUUAACUCAUAAACUUAUUAUACAACAUUAAAGUGACAAAUGAAUAAGAGACAGUUUCUUAGAUCUGUUUUCCACUUAGUUUUAGUUCUUUUUAAAAAGUAUUGAUAACUUGUAGUUAGUUUAUAGCAGUGUCCUACCUUAUAUUGUGCAAAUUCUAGUCUUGGUUGUGGAUAGUCUCCAAAAAUUUCUUGAGUCACUCUAUGGACUCUCUCUUUUUCUGUUUUGUUUUCAUGAAUGAUCCUUGAAUCCACUACAGAUGGAAGAUUUCAAGAGAAACAGCUGUUAUAUAUUUGAUAUUAUUAUAAUAUUAUAUAUUUUAUGUAUGUUAAUAUAUUUCAUCCAUAAAGUAUCUUCCUUUCAUUCCUAACCUUUCAACUUGCUUGUAUAACUUAAAAAUAAUGUUUACUGUUUCUUCUCGAUUGUAAUAAUUUCUUAUUGUUGAAAAGCUGGAAAGUAUAGGCUGGUAAGAGAAAAUAAAAAUCACCCAUAAUUCCACCACAGAGAUAAGUACUGUUAACAUUUUAAUCUAUUUGUCUAACCCUUUUUUCAGUGAAUAAAAAGAUAUGUAUUUUUUAAACUGGGAUUAUAAAAUACACACAAUUUUGUUUCCUGCUUUCUUUACUUAACAUGAAAUCAACAGCAGUUCCUGUGCCAUUGGAAAGUCAUAAAUAUGUUUAGUUCAUAAUGGCUGUACCAUUUCAUUUUAUUGCCAAAUCACUGCCAAGUGAGAGGAACAUUUUCAUUUUUAUAAAUCUAUAU